This 374-nucleotide unclassified non-coding RNA is filed under the name uncultured Gammaproteobacteria bacterium. RNAcentral's name for it is "contains 16S-23S intergenic spacer region". Lineage: Bacteria; Pseudomonadati; Pseudomonadota; Gammaproteobacteria. The record is from RNAcentral.
UCCGACUUAACGUCGGCAGUCUCAUUAGAGUGCCCUUGCGUAGCAACUAAUGAUAAGGGUUGCGCUCGUUGCGGGACUUAACCCAACAUCUCACGACACGAGCUGACGACGGCCAUGCAGCACCUGUGUUCUGGCUCUCUUUCGAGCACUCCCAAAUCUCUUCGGGAUUCCAGACAUGUCAAGGGUAGGUAAGGUUUUUCGCGUUGCAUCGAAUUAAACCACAUCAUCCACCGCUUGUGCGGGUCCCCGUCAAUUCCUUUGAGUUUUAAUCUUGCGACCGUACUCCCCAGGCGGAUGACUUCGCGCGUUAGCUGCGUUACUAAGGGAUUUAACUCCCCCAACAACUAGUCAUCAUCGUUUAGGGCGUGGACUAC